GCCAUCAAAACAAUUGAAGUUUAAAAGUAAUGAUGACUUUCUUUAAGGUUAUAUGUUGGGCUCUCAUAUUUAUAAUAAGAAUCCGUUUUCCGCCUGGCAAAUCUCUAGCUACGAUAUAUGCAAAUGAAGUUUACGUAAUCGUAUCUAUGAUGUAAUAAUUUAUGCUGAACCUAACACAUGCGCAGUUCACGACGAGCUUCUCUCUCGAUCUAUUCAAUAUGGUGGUCAAUCAAGAAAUGUUUUUGCUUGCAAAAAGAUCGUAAAUUGUUGGCGCUACAAGCUCGGAAAGAAGGAAGCAUCCAAACAAAUUCAUUUGUAACAUGGUGGAUAACAAAGUCCCUCUUUGAAAACGUACUUCAGUCAUUUUACGAUUGUAAAUGAGAUCAGGCUUUUAUCAGCUCACAGAAUAACAAGAAGGAAGCAUCCAAACAAAUUCAUUUGUAACAUGGUGGAUAACAAAGUCCCUCCUUGAAAACCUACUUCAGUCAUUUUACGAUUAAAAGUCCAGCGAGAAAUGAAGUGAAAGGCGAUUUGAAAACCACGAGAUUGGUGGCGAUCGAAGGUGGACAGCAAGAUCGAAGCUCAGCAAGAUUGAAGAUUGUUCGAAGAAGAAGGAGUUCGCCGUUGACUAAAAGGUUUAUCUGAACAGCUAGUUGUCAAGAUGAAUGCGAAGACUCGCCCGGCCAAAUUCAAAAUGGCGAUGCCAAAGAAAACCAUCCACCUGGACCGUUCGCAGACCUUUCUGGGCAAGAUUGUUGUGCUGUCUGGUCAAACCAGUUAUCAAGACGAACGUCAAGAGAACAGUUGAAAUAG
This 813-nucleotide long non-coding RNA is filed under the name Dendronephthya gigantea. Its description in RNAcentral is "uncharacterized LOC114537670, transcript variant X2". Lineage: Eukaryota; Metazoa; Cnidaria; Anthozoa; Malacalcyonacea; Nephtheidae. The record is from RNAcentral.